CCCUUAGAUGUUCUGGGCCGCACGCGCGUUACACUGACGAAUGCAACGAGCUUAUAACCUUGUCCGAAAGGUCUGGGUAAUCUCCAAAUUUCGUCGUGAUGGGGAUAGAUUAUUGCAAUUAUUAAUCUUCAACGAGGAAUGCCUAGUAAGCGCAAGUCAUCAGCUUGCGUUGAUUACGUCCCUGCCCUUUGUACACACCGCCCGUCGCUCCUACCGAUUGAAUGGUCCGGUGAAGCGUUCGGACCGUGGCCUUUGGACGGUUCGCCGUCUGUUGGCUGCGGGAAGUUCGUUAAACCUUAUCAUUUAGAGGAAGGAGAAGUCGUAACA
Molecule: ribosomal RNA, 327 nt
Filed under: uncultured eukaryote
Lineage: Eukaryota
Description: partial 18S ribosomal RNA
Rfam family: Eukaryotic small subunit ribosomal RNA
Source: RNAcentral